CUCACAGUCUAAGGCAGAACUCCCAUUGUAUUCAGCAGAAGCAACCGGUCUUCAAGGCUGAUUUGGUUAUUUCAGCAUUGUGAUGAUCUCAAGUUCCUACAAUCCUCAGUAUUUUACAGGGGCGCCAACAAUGCAUGCUUGGAAAAUCAUCUGUCAAACUCUCAAUCCGGUAACCUGCUGGGAUGUAAGAAGUUCUCAACUCCUGGCCUUGCAGAGAAAGGAAAUGCCAUGCUGAGACCAUAGUUAAGAGUUUUGUGCAGAAGACACACGUACAAAUCGCUGCAGAGAAAUCGGUGCUGAGAAAGCCUCGGUUGGAGGACGGUGUCCAGCUGUGGUCAUCAUCUUUCAAGACAAAGCACAGAGGAAGAAACAAGGUUAUGGACAACAAAACCUGACCUGUAAGAACCGAAAGUCCUGAGUUGUUUAAUCUGGCAAAGAGAAGGCACAGAGACAAAAUUCUAAUAUGUGAAAGUCUGCUGAAAAAAGACACAGAAGGAUUGUUCUCCGUGUCUACUAGGGAUGAGCUGACAAAGAAGCUUCACCUGGGAAAUACUGCUUCUGUUACUUCAACUGCUAAGUGACACACCAACAUCUCUAUAACAUACCAAAGCAAGAAUGUGUUCGGAUGUAACCUUAAGUGCCUUGAAGCCUGACUGUUGUUGAAGAUGAGUGAAAAAGUGUUUUUCUUAACAUACUUAGUUUGCUGGGCUAAAGAAAAAAGAAUUAAAAGCAGUCAG
This is a long non-coding RNA of Lagopus leucura (white-tailed ptarmigan), 737 nucleotides long. RefSeq lists it as uncharacterized. The record is from RefSeq and is a predicted model, not a curated record. Lineage: Eukaryota; Metazoa; Chordata; Aves; Galliformes; Phasianidae. The transcript is spliced from 3 exons.